UACGUAGGUGGCAAGCGUUGUCCGGAAUUAUUGGGCGUAAAGCGCGCGCAGGGGGUUUCUUAAGUCUGAUGUGAAAGCCCACGGCUCAACCGUGGAGGGUCAUUGGAAACUGGGGAACUUGAGUGCAGAAGAGGAUAGUGGAAUUCCAAGUGUAGCGGUGAAAUGCGUAGAGAUUUGGAGGAACACCAGUGGCGAAGGCGACUAUCUGGUCUGUAACUGACACUGAGGCGCGAAAGCGUGGGGAGCAAACAGG
Molecule: ribosomal RNA, 253 nt
Filed under: uncultured bacterium
Lineage: Bacteria
Description: partial 16S ribosomal RNA
Rfam family: Bacterial small subunit ribosomal RNA
Source: RNAcentral